GAUGAACGCUGGCGGCGUGCCUAAUACAUGCCAGUCGAGCGAACGGACGAGAAGCUUGCUUCUCUGAUGUUAGCGGCGGACGGGUGAGUAACACGUGGAUAACCUACCUAUAAGACUGGGAUAACUUCGGGAAACCGGAGCUAAUACCGGAUAAUAUUUUGAACCGCAUGGUUCAAAAGUGAAAGACGGUCUUGCUGUCACUUAUAGAUGGAUCCGCGCUGCAUUAGCUAGUUGGUAAGGUAACGGCUUACCAAGGCAACGAUGCAUAGCCGACCUGAGAGGGUGAUCGGCCACACUGGAACUGAGACACGGUCCAGACUCCUACGGGAGGCAGCAGUAGGGAAUCUUCCGCAAUGGGCGAAAGCCUGACGGAGCAACGCCGCGUGAGUGGUGAAGGUCUUCGGAUCGUAAAACUCUGUUAUUAGGGAAGAACAUAUGUGUAAGUAACUGUGCACAUCUUGACGGUACCGAAUCAGAAAGCCACGGCUAACUACGUG
Molecule: ribosomal RNA, 497 nt
Filed under: uncultured bacterium
Lineage: Bacteria
Description: partial 16S ribosomal RNA
Rfam family: Bacterial small subunit ribosomal RNA
Source: RNAcentral